AUACGGAGGGUGCAAGCGUUAUUCGGAAUCACUGGGCGUAAAGGACGCGUAGACGGGUUGGCAAGUCAGAUGUGAAAUCCUACAGCUUAACUGUAGAACUGCAUUUGAAACUGCUAACCUAGAGUAUGUGAGGGGGAGAUGGAAUUAGUGGUGUAGGGGUAAAAUCCGUAGAUAUCACUAGGAAUACCGAAAGCGAAGGCGAUCUCCUGGAACAUAACUGACGCUAAGGCGUGAAAGCGUGGGGAGCAAACAGAAUUAGAAACCCUGGUAGUCC
RNAcentral lists this ribosomal RNA (274 nucleotides) under uncultured bacterium. Its description in RNAcentral is "partial 16S ribosomal RNA". It matches the Rfam family "Bacterial small subunit ribosomal RNA", at positions 523 to 796 of the family's 1533-position model. The record is from RNAcentral.